This 493-nucleotide ribosomal RNA is filed under the name uncultured bacterium. RNAcentral's name for it is "partial 16S ribosomal RNA". It matches the Rfam family "Bacterial small subunit ribosomal RNA", at positions 29 to 523 of the family's 1533-position model. The record is from RNAcentral.
AUUGAACGCUGGCGGCAUGCUUUACACAUGCAAGUCGAACGGUAACAGGUUAAGCUGACGAGUGGCGAACGGGUGAGAAAUGCAUCGGAACGUGCCCGAUCGUGGGGGAUAACGCAGCGAAAGCUGCGCUAAUACCGCAUACGAUCUGAGGAUGAAAGCGGGGGACCGUAAGGCCUCGCGCGAUCGCAGCGGCCGAUGUCAGAUUAGGUAGUUGGUGGGGUAAAGGCCCACCAAGCCGACGAUCUGUAGCUGGUCUGAGGGGACGACCAGCCACGGUGAGACUGAGACAGGGCCCGGACUCCUAUGGGGGGCAGAAGGGGGGAAUUUUGGACAAUGGGCGGGAGCCUGAUCCAGCAAUGCCGCGUGCAGGAAGGAGGCCUUCGGUUUGUAAACUGCUUUUGUACGGAGCGAAAAGGUCCUUUCUAAUACAAGGGGCUCAUGACGGUACCGUAAGAAUAGGCACCGGGUAACUACGUGCCAGCAGCCGGCGUAA